Molecule: long non-coding RNA, 2626 nt
Organism: Balaenoptera ricei (Rice's whale)
Lineage: Eukaryota; Metazoa; Chordata; Mammalia; Artiodactyla; Balaenopteridae
Exons: 4
Source: RefSeq, a predicted model, not a curated record
ACACCUCGAGGGCUUCCCGGAGGCGCCCCCCAGACGCCAGGGCGUCGGCCUGCGUGAGCAGGACUUUGCACUCCGGCGUCGAGGCCCUCGGAAGCCGUUCCUGCGGCGGCGGCCGAGUCGGUAGAGAGAAAUUUACUUCUGGAGACUGGGAAGUCCAAGACCAAGUGCUGGCAGAUCCAGUGUCUGAUGCAGAUUUGGGAUGUGCCUUGCUCCCUGGACCACCUUGACAAGGGACAGUAUUUGAACAGACCGUACUGAACACUGCAGUGGACAUUCUGACCCUACAUGGGAGUGUGCAGAGGGACAAGAGGAAACCCAGCUAGAAUAUGUCAUACCUUUGCCCUGGGUUGUUCACAGAGAGAGUGGGCAUGCAGAUAAUUAAGGGUUAACAGUCCUACACUUGGGAAGGACUGGUAACAGCUCUGGGAUGGAAGAAUCCAGUCAAAGCCAGGGAGCUGCAGUGAGGAAUGAGCAACACCGCCACACACACCCUCUCUCUCUCUCUCUCUCUCUCUCACACACACACACACACACACACACACACACACACACACACUCACGCUAUGCAUGGAAGCUUGGCCAAAGCACUUACUUGUUCUUUACUUGAGUUUCUCAUUUUAUAAACUGGAGGUGAUCCAUCGAUUAUGUAGUCCUUAGAGGAAAAAAAAUUAGGCAUGGUGGGCAUUAAAGACAUUGACAUGAAAAAGGCUGCCCCUUGCUAUCUAGAGUAGCCAAAAAAUCCAGAGCUAAAAGAAACUUUACAGAUCAGCCCUGGUUUCACAAGUGAGGGAACUGAGGGCUACAGAAGGCAAGCGACUUGCUGCAGGUCACAAUGGGAGUUUGUGACAGAGCCAAGAUUGGAAGCUAGGGCUCUUGCCUCUUUGUUUAAAGUUCUUUCCAUGUGACCAGAGAGCUUCCAAAGGACACAGAACGUCUCCCAAAUAAAUAAGAAAUUAUUUCAGAUUUCCAAAUUACAAGAUAUGCCAUUCAACAAAUAUUUAUUGAAGAGAUACUAGGUGCUAAUGGAGCUGGCAUUUGCGGGGCAAUAAGAGAAGGGUAGGUCAUGGUUUUUACCCUCCAGUAGCUAACUGAGGAAACAAGAGGCAAAGAUUUGAAACAGUUAAGUAAAAAUAACAAGCAGUAUGUGAGAAGUGCCAAAAUUGGGGGAACAGAGAGUCCAAGGGAGAGCUCAAAGGAGACAGAACGCAAUGCUUCCCAUCUCGUAGCAAAGGUUCCUUUAAGCUGAGUUGGAGAGGAUUUACAUAGAAAAGUUAAAGACCACCCCGCUGCUCAAAUCAAGGGGGUUCCCUUCACCCUGGGGGCCACUUGGCCGGGAGAAAGGAGAAGAAAUCCAAGUAAGCCAGGCUGGGCAAGGCCCAGGAAUUUGUAUUUUUAAAGGCCACCCAUGUGAUUAUCAUGCUCAGCCAGGUUUGAAGUUCACCCGUGUAAAGGGUAAUGCAGAAUAGAUUGGAUAAGGGCACCCCACUCCUCUCCCUAGCUCAUCCAGUUUCUCUGGGGGUAGGCACCAAUAAAUCUUGUCUACAUUUUACUGAAGGGAAAACUGAGGGUCCAGAAACUUUCGAUGAUGUGUUCCAGGUCAUUCAGUAAGUAGUGGGGACUCGGUUUCCUGCCAACCAUUAGAAACAGAAAGAUCAAAAUAUACCAUCCCAAAGAAGAUUUUGCUUCAUUUCUCUGUAAGACAAGUCAGACCCGCUUGGUUAGCUAGAGAGUUCGUUACCCAGAGUACAAAAAGGAGCAAGUCUCUGGAGCUGCCAGGUGUGUGGGACAGAGCCCAGGGCGACGUUAGUUGCUGGGAGAUCGGAGUUCUAACUUUGCUGUGUGACUCAGCCCAAGCCACUUCCCCUCUCUCUUUGUCCUUCACCUAUUAAUAACGAUGCCCCACGUCACCGUUGGGAUAGCUACCAGUGAUGGAAAAUGCACAGCGCGGUUAGUUCCGAUGUGAUUCCUGGGAACAGAAGGGAUCCACAGCCAUCUGCCGAUUGUUGUGAGUAAAAUAUGUGCUGGCUGCCUUCGGAGCAGAGGCAUUUUCUUCCCAGGAAGAGGGUGGGUUAGAGGCCUGAGGCUGGACUCUGCCCUCUUCAGGGUCAUUGACCAAUGUGAGGCUCUAGAGAUCCUGGCAGAGAGCAGUCUGGUCUUAGGAGGAAAAAGAAAGAAAAGGCAGGUUAUCUGGAGGGAAAGCAGCAAACAUUCAUCAGAAGGAAAUUAUCUGAAGACUUUGGCAGGACUGGGAAAUGGUUAAAAUCAAGGCUUGGAUCUUCUUUUAUAAAUUGUGAUAAAAUAUACGAAAUGUAAAAUUUACCAUUUUAGCUAUUUUUUAGGUGUACAGUUUACUAUUAAGGUCAUUCACAUUAUUAUGCAACCAUUACCACCACCCAUCUCCAGAACUUCUUUUCAUUUUGCAAAACUGAAACUCUGAACCCAUUAAAUAACAACUCCCCAUUCCCCACCCGCUCCAGCCCUGGCCAACCACCCUUCUAUUUUCUGUCUCUGUGAAUCUGACAACUCUUGGUAUCUCAAAUAAGUGGAAUCAUAUGGUAUUCGUCCUUUUGUGACUGGCUUAUUUCACUUAGUAUAAUGACCUCAAAUGUUCAUUCAUGUUGUAGCA